GUGAACGCUGGCGGUAGGCCUAACCCAUGCAAGUUGAACGGCAGCACAGUAAGAGCUUGCUCUUACGGGUGGCGAGUGGCGGACGGGUGAGGAAUACAUCGGAAUCUACUUUUUCGUGGGGGAUAACGUAGGGAAACUUACGCUAAUACCGCAUACGACCUACGGGUGAAAGCAGGGGAUCUUCGGACCUUGCGCGAUUGAAUGAGCCGAUGUCGGAUUAGCUAGUUGGCGGGGUAAAGGCCCACCAAGGCGACGAUCCGUAGCUGGUCUGAGAGGAUGAUCAGCCACACUGGAACUGAGACACGGUCCAGACUCCUACGGGAGGCAGCAGUGGGGAAUAUUGGACAAUGGGCGCAAGCCUGAUCCAGCCAUACCGCGUGGGUGAAGAAGGCCUUCGGGUUGUAAAGCCCUUUUGUUGGGAAAGAAAAGCAGCAGGUUAAUACCCCGCUGUUCUGACGGUACCCAAAGAAUAAGCACCGGCUAACUUCGUG
Molecule: ribosomal RNA, 491 nt
Filed under: uncultured bacterium
Lineage: Bacteria
Description: partial 16S ribosomal RNA
Rfam family: Bacterial small subunit ribosomal RNA
Source: RNAcentral